This 2528-nucleotide ribosomal RNA is filed under the name Triticum aestivum (bread wheat). RNAcentral describes it as "partial small subunit ribosomal RNA". The record is from RNAcentral. Lineage: Eukaryota; Viridiplantae; Streptophyta; Magnoliopsida; Poales; Poaceae.
GAAAAAUAAAACUCCCAAUCGCAUCUCCACCUCCAGCGCGCAGCCACCCUCUGCCGCGAGGCGCCGGCCCCAGCCCCGCCGCAGCGCGCCGCCCCCGCCUACCCUGCCGGCACUCCUAACCCAAUUGCCCCCCACGCCUGUGGCGUUCUACCGCCAGCGACACCCCACGCUGCGGCCGUUGCCGGCACGCAUACCCGCGGGCCUCCGUCUCUCCUGCUGCCGCCGCUGCCCCGCUCGUCCAGCGGGCCGGCCCCGUCCAUGGUGCGCAGGGGCUACCCACGCCCUCCCACGCCCGCGCGCGCCUCCUUCUGCCCUUCCGCCGCGGAUGACGCCGCGUCCUGCAGCUCCACGGAUACGUCCUCCACCCUGCCGACUUCUCUGAGCCUGAUGCGAUCCCGAUGGUGGCCGCGCCCUGCGAGAGCCCGCUGCUGCUCGGCCCGACGUCCUGCCGUGGCGAGCGCUUGUCGUCGGAGCUCUGGUCGUCGGUUCCACAUGGGGGGCGCCUAUCCCACUGUGCACUGAUCACUUAAUUUGGCUCUCUCGAGGUGCCCGGCUCCGGCUGCGAAGAUGAUGGCGGCGCCUAGGCCACAGCAGCCACAUGGGAUGAAACUAGCAGAGAUGAAGAAGGCGGCGGUCGUUGGGAGGAGAAAGGUUGCCGGGAAGCUGGAGGACAUGCACCAGCUGCGGCUGCUCAUUUAUCUAUCUGAAUUUUCUGCAAUUCAGAUCCACCAAGGAAGAGAUGGACGAGGCCGUGUUGCUCCUUGCAUCUAUCCGAAUUACUAUAUGAAAAUGAGAGUUACUGGUGAUAUUGACCAGAUUGGAAAUUGGGAGCUUUUCAUAUAGCAAUUCAGAUAGAUGUUCUUGCUAACUAUAUAUGAAUUGCUAUAAGUGGGGUGGGGGUGAAGAUGUUCUUGCUGUCUAUAUAUGAAAUGAAAAACCUGAUGAAGAUCCUUCCGAGGCGUCUCAGAUGUACCUCUUCUCGCACUGAACAGGGCCAUCAAUGGAGCAGUCAAAGAAGCAACACUGCAGUAGCAAAAACAAAUCAUACGUGGCACUCUCCCAGUAUGCGUGCCCAGUAUAUUUCAAAAUGGUAGUAGCUUCUUGUUCUUCAGAAAGUAAAUGUAAACAUCUGUUGUAAGAUUCCAGUACAUGUAAGAUUUUUAUAUGAGAUAGUAGCUGUGUUAUAUUUACAAAACAAGGUUCUGUACUCCUAAGUCUAAUGAUUUGUGCCUCACGUCUGAAUUCAGGUAAAGGCAACCGCUGCUAGCUUCUCUGCCACAGGUGCGAAACCAAACGUAAUCCUUUGCCGAAAACAAUUGUACUAAGCAGUAACACAAUCACCUUUAGGUAGGGGUGAAGGCAGCAGUCAAUGGGUCAUCUCCAUACUCCAGGUUCAGCACUAAUUACUGUUUGAUUAGUGUGGUAUUGCCGAAAACAAUAGUACCAAGCACUAACACAAUCGCCUGAGUAUAUUACAUGGGUAUAGCACUGAUUACUAUUUGACUAGCAUCAGGUUUUGAAUGUAAGACAUUCAAAGUCGGGCUGUGAACUCAUUGGGGUCGUUUCUUAUCAUCAAUGGGGACUGCAUGUUUUGAACAGACCAUUUUUAUCCCAUAUCCAAUAGUUCUGAUGGCAAAUAGACACUGCUUUACUUUAACUUUUUUGUAUGGAGGUGUCCUUUUAGUAAGUUAGGAAAUUGAAAGUGGUAUGUUGCUGUUGCAUUUCUAACACUAAAAGUUGUACUUGAUAAUGAUACCAGGUGGCAUCUUGAGUAUGUGUUAUUUUCUUGAAAUAAUCACCAUUGUUUUGUCACUUGGUCUUUAUCUUAAAAGAUGGAGUACAUAUUGGCAUACACUAGAACAUAGUAACAGGCUUGACGAUCAAAACAUCUGUAUUAGCUAAAACCAGAUGGACAGUGAGUUUAUAUAAAAAAGAAUUGUAUCCCCAUCUGCUUCUCCUGUUCAUUGUAUCCACAGAUUCGGUAAAUCAGCGUAUUGUCUGCUUCUCAUGUCCAGACUUGGUAGUUCACAUCAUACUUGCCAGCUGUGUAUAACUGACUGCUAUUUGAUAGCCCCGUUUACAUGAUAGAUGAGGCAAGGGCCAAGGAGAGGGGAAUUGAGGACCAGAAAGCAUAGGAACAGAUUUUGCCGCAUCAGCCGAGACGAUAACCAAUGGAUAAAAACAGAAAAGAGGGAAAAGAAGCGGAGGAUAAAGAGUUGACCAAUGAUCCGAUCCGUCUUCACUUCAAGGGUAACCUUGUACUUAAUCCUAAGAUCAUAGGUUGAUGUUUGGAUUGAGAAUUACUGUCCGGUUAAGGCAACUGCUAAUUAGAAUCUGAAUACAAAGGUUUUAAAAUCAAAACUAGGUAUAAACAGUUUAGAAUUUGAUAUAGCAGUAAAAGCAAAGUUGUAGAGCAUCUGAAGGAGGCAGUAGUCUGUACUCCCUCCGUCCCACAAUGUAAGAAUAUUUUACAAGCAAGGCAGUAGACAGUACUACUGAAUGUUGAUUCCUCUUUAUAUAAGUGUAAG